Molecule: small nuclear RNA, 107 nt
Organism: Dromiciops gliroides (monito del monte)
Lineage: Eukaryota; Metazoa; Chordata; Mammalia; Microbiotheria; Microbiotheriidae
Source: RefSeq, a predicted model, not a curated record
AUGCUCCCUUGGGCAGUACAUAUACUAAAACUGGAAUGAUGCAGAGAAGAUUAGCAUGGCCCCUGUUCAAGGAUGACAUGAAAAUUUGUUAAGUGUUAAAUAUUUUA